This 301-nucleotide ribosomal RNA is filed under the name uncultured bacterium. Its description in RNAcentral is "partial 16S ribosomal RNA". It matches the Rfam family "Bacterial small subunit ribosomal RNA", at positions 509 to 807 of the family's 1533-position model. The record is from RNAcentral.
CAGUAGCCGCGGUAACACGGAGGGUGCAAGCGUUAAUCGGAAUUACUGGGCGUAAAGCGUGCGUAGGCGGUUCGUUAAGUCUGUUGUGAAAGCCCCGGGCUCAACCUGGGAAUGGCAAUGGAUACUGGCGAGCUAGAGUGUGUCAGAGGAUGGUGGAAUUCCCGGUGUAGCGGUGAAAUGCGUAGAGAUCGGGAGGAACAUCAGUGGCGAAGGCGGCCAUCUGGGACAACACUGACGCUGAGGCACGAAAGCGUGGGGAGCAAACAGGAUUAGAUACCCGUGUAGUCCCUGUCUCUUAUAC